RNAcentral lists this long non-coding RNA (804 nucleotides) under Brachypodium distachyon (stiff brome). RNAcentral describes it as "long non-coding RNA (BDIS_LNC001720)". Lineage: Eukaryota; Viridiplantae; Streptophyta; Magnoliopsida; Poales; Poaceae. The record is from RNAcentral.
UUGGAGAGGUUUGGAAACUUAGGGCAAGUCCAGCAGUUCCUCUAAAAUAUCACCCCUAUAUCUCAAAAUGGGGGACUCCUCUAAAAAUAUUCUCCCCUAAAAAUUGCCCAACUCCAGCAGUUGCCCUAAAAGAUCUCCCCUAAUCUAUAUUUUAAGAAUUUUGUGUAACAACCAUUUUCUUUUUCUUUUUUUCGCGCUGGAUUCCCCCCCUCUCCUUCUAUUUCUUCCCCACCGAGCUGUCUCUUUUUCCUCCUUUCUUCCCCACCGAUCCGUUAGCCGCCCCUGCUCCUUCUCCCCAAAUCCCGGCAAGCCAGCCCGCCGCCCCCCCAUCUGGCCGCCGCCCGCGAGGCAGAGCCGCUCCAAUCUGGCCGCCGCUGCCCGCUUCUAGCCGCCGCCACCGCCACCUGCAUCUGCCACCCCAAAUCAAAGCAAGAAACAGAGAAAGGAGAAGGAGGCCGGGCGCGUGGUGGCGGGAGGGAGGCAUCGGUUGCUCCUCGCGUGGAUAGGGGUAGGGAUCGGGCUCCCUGAUCUGUAGGGGAGAAAAAGCUCUGGAUCGGGGACGCCAAAAUAUCGAGGAGGCUUUAGGGGAACUGCUGGACGUUGUUUUUGGGCUUUCCCCCCCUAAAUUUGGUAUUGGGGAGGCUUUAGAGGAACUGCUGGACUUGCUCUUAGACCAUGGUUGACAUGUCCAUCUUAAUCUCCUUGAGCUAGGUUCAUUAGACAAUGCUUGACACUACGAAUAGCUCCUUCCUCCGCCAGUCCACCUCCAAAGAUGGUGAGCUCCACAACACUCACAACUCUCGG